GACGAACUGUGCAAACGUUAUUCGGAAUCACUGGGCUUGAAGAGUGCGUAGGCGGUUUCGUAAGUAGGGUGUGAAAGCCCUCGGCUCAACCGGGGAAUUGCGUCCUAAACUGCGAGGCUAGAGUGAGGUAGGGGUGUGUGGAACUUCCAGUGGAGCGGUGAAAUGUGUUGAUAUUGGAAGGAACGCCGGUGGCGAAAGCGACACACUGGGCCUUGUCUGACGCUGAGGCACGAAAGCCAGGGGAGCAAAC
Molecule: ribosomal RNA, 250 nt
Filed under: uncultured bacterium
Lineage: Bacteria
Description: partial 16S ribosomal RNA
Rfam family: Bacterial small subunit ribosomal RNA
Source: RNAcentral